This 543-nucleotide ribosomal RNA is filed under the name Pseudomonas sp. EP_R_34. RNAcentral describes it as "bacterial SSU rRNA". It matches the Rfam family "Bacterial small subunit ribosomal RNA", at positions 39 to 577 of the family's 1533-position model. The record is from RNAcentral. Lineage: Bacteria; Pseudomonadati; Pseudomonadota; Gammaproteobacteria; Pseudomonadales; Pseudomonadaceae.
GCGGCAGGCCUAACACAUGCAAGUCGAGCGGUAGAGAGGUGCUUGCACCUCUUGAGAGCGGCGGACGGGUGAGUAAUGCCUAGGAAUCUGCCUGGUAGUGGGGGAUAACGCUCGGAAACGGACGCUAAUACCGCAUACGUCCUACGGGAGAAAGCAGGGGACCUUCGGGCCUUGCGCUAUCAGAUGAGCCUAGGUCGGAUUAGCUAGUUGGUGGGGUAAUGGCUCACCAAGGCGACGAUCCGUAACUGGUCUGAGAGGAUGAUCAGUCACACUGGAACUGAGACACGGUCCAGACUCCUACGGGAGGCAGCAGUGGGGAAUAUUGGACAAUGGGCGAAAGCCUGAUCCAGCCAUGCCGCGUGUGUGAAGAAGGUCUUCGGAUUGUAAAGCACUUUAAGUUGGGAGGAAGGGCAGUUACUUAAUACGUGACUGUCUUGACGUUACCGACAGAAUAAGCACCGGCUAACUCUGUGCCAGCAGCCGCGGUAAUACAGAGGGUGCAAGCGUUAAUCGGAAUUACUGGGCGUAAAGCGCGCGUAGGUG